RNAcentral lists this ribosomal RNA (438 nucleotides) under uncultured archaeon. Its description in RNAcentral is "bacterial SSU rRNA". It matches the Rfam family "Archaeal small subunit ribosomal RNA", at positions 19 to 458 of the family's 1478-position model. The record is from RNAcentral.
GGACCUGACUGCUAUCGGAUUAAUACUAAGCCAUGCGAGUUUUUGUAGUAAUACAAGGCAUACGGCUCAGUAACACGUAGUCAACCUACCCUAUGGACGAGGAUAAUCUCGGGAAACUGAGCAUAAUACUCGAUAGAUCAUAAUGCCUGGAGAAGGUUUAUGGUGAAAAUGAUUCGUUCGCCAUAUAGGAUGGGACUGCGGCCUAUCAGCUUGUUGGUGAGGUAAUGGCCCACCAAGGCGAUUACAGGUACGGGCUCUGAGAGGAGAAGCCCGGAGAUGGGUACUGAGACACGGACCCAGGCCCUAUGGGGCGCAGCAGGCGAGAAAACUUUGCAAUGUGCGAAAGCACGACAAGGUUAGUCCGAGUGAUUUCUGCUAAAGAGAUCUUUUGCAAGUUCUAAAACCACUAGUGAAUAAGGGGUGGGCAAGUUCUGGUGU